AACAUUGUAACCUCCAUCCAUCCUCUACUAAAUGAGGACAAAAUUUGAAUUGCUAUUUUGAUUGAGUUUAUAUAUUUGCUUUGUAAACCUUUUCUAGUUUUGAUUUUCAACAGAUCUCAAUGAUUUUUUGCAGGUGGUUUUAUGAUGAAAUCAAAAAGUUAUUUCAGCCUGUUACCAGUUGAUCUUGUGUGAAAACAUGAUAAUAUGACUCCCCUUAGUCAUGCAAUUUUAUGGUGAGAUGCAUGUUAGACCCGCUAUUCGAUGUAACAUGCGACGCGCCUGAUCCCCCAUGCAAUAAUCUCUCGUUGGCACAUUUGAGCAUGAAUUCCAUGUGAUGUAAAAACUUUAGCCGAAGAUAUGAAUGUUAGCUUAGACUUUAGUUGCAUUAGUUCUUUGUUUUUGAUCUGUGCCUUUAGUUCUGGUUUUGAGCAAUUCAUUCUGUAUCAUUCUUUUUGGGUAUGCAGGUGUUUUUUUAGGUCCACUAAUCACACUGUUACCUUUUUUAAUUAGAUUAUAGCGUAGUCCCCUGCUUAGUAUGCUGGAAUUGUAUUAUAUACCGUUUGUAAAAAAGAAUAGCCAUUUCUUCUGAUAGACAUAACCUUUGAAUUUGUUCUGGGAAAACCAAUUGAAUUCAGUAGCAAAAAAAUAAUCAUUAUUUUGUAGAA
Long non-coding RNA from Arachis duranensis, 665 nucleotides. RefSeq lists it as uncharacterized. The record is from RefSeq and is a predicted model, not a curated record. Lineage: Eukaryota; Viridiplantae; Streptophyta; Magnoliopsida; Fabales; Fabaceae. The transcript is spliced from 2 exons.